RNAcentral lists this ribosomal RNA (2366 nucleotides) under Salmonella enterica subsp. enterica serovar Reading. Its description in RNAcentral is "bacterial LSU rRNA". It matches the Rfam family "Bacterial large subunit ribosomal RNA", at positions 476 to 2823 of the family's 2925-position model. The record is from RNAcentral. Lineage: Bacteria; Pseudomonadati; Pseudomonadota; Gammaproteobacteria; Enterobacterales; Enterobacteriaceae.
CUGACUGACCGAUAGUGAACCAGUACCGUGAGGGAAAGGCGAAAAGAACCCCGGCGAGGGGAGUGAAAAAGAACCUGAAACCGUGUACGUACAAGCAGUGGGAGCACAGGUUUACCUGUGUGACUGCGUACCUUUUGUAUAAUGGGUCAGCGACUUAUAUUCUGUAGCAAGGUUAACCGUAUAGGGGAGCCGGAGGGAAACCGAGUCUUAAUUGGGCGUUAAGUUGCAGGGUAUAGACCCGAAACCCGGUGAUCUAGCCAUGGGCAGGUUGAAGGUUGGGUAACACUAACUGGAGGACCGAACCGACUAAUGUUGAAAAAUUAGCGGAUGACCUGUGGCUGGGGGUGAAAGGCCAAUCAAACCGGGAGAUAGCUGGUUCUCCCCGAAAGCUAUUUAGGUAGCGCCUCGUGAAUUCAUCUCCGGGGGUAGAGCACUGUUUCGGCUAGGGGGCCAUCCCGGCUUACCAACCCGAUGCAAACUGCGAAUACCGGAGAAUGUUAUCACGGGAGACACACGGCGGGUGCUAACGUCCGUCGUGAAGAGGGAAACAACCCAGACCGCCAGCUAAGGUCCCAAAGUCAUGGUUAAGUGGGAAACGAUGUGGGAAGGCCCAGACAGCCAGGAUGUUGGCUUAGAAGCAGCCAUCAUUUAAAGAAAGCGUAAUAGCUCACUGGUCGAGUCGGCCUGCGCGGAAGAUGUAACGGGGCUAAACCAUGCACCGAAGCUGCGGCAGCGACGCUGAUGCGUUGUUGGGUAGGGGAGCGUUCUGUAAGCCUGCGAAGGUGGCCUGUGAGGGUUGCUGGAGGUAUCAGAAGUGCGAAUGCUGACAUAAGUAACGAUAAAGCGGGUGAAAAGCCCGCUCGCCGGAAGACCAAGGGUUCCUGUCCAACGUUAAUCGGGGCAGGGUGAGUCGACCCCUAAGGCGAGGCCGAAAGGCGUAGUCGAUGGGAAACGGGUUAAUAUUCCCGUACUUGGUGUUACUGCGAAGGGGGGACGGAGAAGGCUAUGUUGGCCGGGCGACGGUUGUCCCGGUUUAAGCGUGUAGGUGUGUGUUCCAGGUAAAUCCGGUUCACUUUAACACUGAGGCGUGAUGACGAGGCACUACGGUGCUGAAGCAACAAAUGCCCUGCUUCCAGGAAAAGCCUCUAAGCAUCAGGUAACAUCAAAUCGUACCCCAAACCGACACAGGUGGUCAGGUAGAGAAUACCAAGGCGCUUGAGAGAACUCGGGUGAAGGAACUAGGCAAAAUGGUGCCGUAACUUCGGGAGAAGGCACGCUGACACGUAGGUGAAGUGAUUUACUCACGGAGCUGAAGUCAGUCGAAGAUACCAGCUGGCUGCAACUGUUUAUUAAAAACACAGCACUGUGCAAACACGAAAGUGGACGUAUACGGUGUGACGCCUGCCCGGUGCCGGAAGGUUAAUUGAUGGGGUCAGCGCAAGCGAAGCUCCUGAUCGAAGCCCCGGUAAACGGCGGCCGUAACUAUAACGGUCCUAAGGUAGCGAAAUUCCUUGUCGGGUAAGUUCCGACCUGCACGAAUGGCGUAAUGAUGGCCAGGCUGUCUCCACCCGAGACUCAGUGAAAUUGAACUCGCUGUGAAGAUGCAGUGUACCCGCGGCAAGACGGAAAGACCCCGUGAACCUUUACUAUAGCUUGACACUGAACAUUGAGCCUUGAUGUGUAGGAUAGGUGGGAGGCUUUGAAGUGUGGACGCCAGUCUGCAUGGAGCCGACCUUGAAAUACCACCCUUUAAUGUUUGAUGUUCUAACGUGGACCCGUAAUCCGGGUUGCGGACAGUGUCUGGUGGGUAGUUUGACUGGGGCGGUCUCCUCCUAAAGAGUAACGGAGGAGCACGAAGGUUGGCUAAUCCUGGUCGGACAUCAGGAGGUUAGUGCAAUGGCAUAAGCCAGCUUGACUGCGAGCGUGACGGCGCGAGCAGGUGCGAAAGCAGGUCAUAGUGAUCCGGUGGUUCUGAAUGGAAGGGCCAUCGCUCAACGGAUAAAAGGUACUCCGGGGAUAACAGGCUGAUACCGCCCAAGAGUUCAUAUCGACGGCGGUGUUUGGCACCUCGAUGUCGGCUCAUCACAUCCUGGGGCUGAAGUAGGUCCCAAGGGUAUGGCUGUUCGCCAUUUAAAGUGGUACGCGAGCUGGGUUUAGAACGUCGUGAGACAGUUCGGUCCCUAUCUGCCGUGGGCGCUGGAGAACUGAGGGGGGCUGCUCCUAGUACGAGAGGACCGGAGUGGACGCAUCACUGGUGUUCGGGUUGUCAUGCCAAUGGCACUGCCCGGUAGCUAAAUGCGGAAGAGAUAAGUGCUGAAAGCAUCUAAGCACGAAACUUGCCCCGAGAUGAGUUCUCCCUGAGACUU